RNAcentral lists this long non-coding RNA (509 nucleotides) under Ananas comosus (pineapple). Its description in RNAcentral is "long non-coding RNA (ACOM_LNC007110)". Lineage: Eukaryota; Viridiplantae; Streptophyta; Magnoliopsida; Poales; Bromeliaceae. The record is from RNAcentral.
GACCGGUCCCCGAACGCGUGAAAACUGAGCAGCUGAAAAAUCGGCUAAGUCCUGAAAAACUAGCUCUCGGGAACCGGUCCCUGCGGGGAGAGACAGGUCCCUGAGAGACCUGUAAUAUAUGGAAAUCUUGAGUUGCGAUGUCAACUUUGAUCUGGGGGAUCAAAGUGAGGAUUGAACUAGUUGGACAUCAUCCCUGAGUGAUUUGUGAUGCAUGUGAAUGAAUUCUGGAGAUAAAUAAGUGUUUCGGCGCAAAUUGGGCGCGAAACGAAAUGUAAAGAGAAUUUUUGGAUUUUCGAUGCUAACUUUGAUUAAAAGAAUUAAAGGGAGCAAAAUAAUAUAAAAUGGUGUGAGAUACCAUUUGAUUGGACUUAAUGGUGUAAAAUAUAUGUCUGGAAUGACUCGUGUUGGAAUCGGAGCGAAAACAGAAGAUUUAGAAUUUUCUGUAAAGAACGGGACUGAGAAAUUAGCAGAAAAUGCACAGUGUCAGAAAAUUAUGAAAAUUGGCGGAG